Molecule: ribosomal RNA, 484 nt
Filed under: uncultured bacterium
Lineage: Bacteria
Description: partial 16S ribosomal RNA
Rfam family: Bacterial small subunit ribosomal RNA
Source: RNAcentral
AGUGAACGCUGGCGGCAGGCCUAACACAUGCAAGUCGAGCGGCAGCGGGUCCUUCGGGAUGCCGGCGAGCGGCGGACGGGUGAGUAAUGCGUCGGAAUCUGCCUUUUUGUGGGGGAUAACGUAGGGAAACUUACGCUAAUACCGCAUACGACCUACGGGUGAAAGUGGGGGACCGCAAGGCCUCACGCAGAAAGAUGAGCCGACGUCGGAUUAGCUAGUUGGCGGGGUAAAGGCCCACCAAGGCGACGAUCCGUAGCUGGUCUGAGAGGAUGAUCAGCCACACUGGAACUGAGACACGGUCCAGACUCCUACGGGAGGCAGCAGUGGGGAAUAUUGGACAAUGGGCGCAAGCCUGAUCCAGCCAUGCCGCGUGUGUGAAGAAGGCCUUCGGGUUGUAAAGCACUUUUGUCCGGAAAGAAAUCCUGUCGGCUAAUACCCGGCGGGGAUGACGUUACCGGAAGAAUAAGCACCGGCUAACUUCGUG